RNAcentral lists this ribosomal RNA (465 nucleotides) under uncultured bacterium. RNAcentral's name for it is "partial 16S ribosomal RNA". It matches the Rfam family "Bacterial small subunit ribosomal RNA", at positions 338 to 795 of the family's 1533-position model. The record is from RNAcentral.
CCUACGGGUGGCAGCAGUAGGGAAUCUUCCACAAUGGGCGAAAGCCUGAUGGAGCAACGCCGCGUGGGUGAAGAAGGUCUUCGGAUCGUAAAACCCUGUUGUUAGAGAAGAAAGUGCGGGAGAGUAACUGUUCACGUUUCGACGGUAUCUAACCAGAAAGCCCCGGCUAACUACGUGCGAGCAGCCGCGGUAAUACGUCGGUGGCAAGCGUUAUCCGGCUUUAUUGGGCGUAAAGGGAACGCAGGCGGUCUAGUAAGUCUGAUGUGAAAGCCUUCGGCUUAACCAGAGUAGUGCAUUUGAAACUGGGAGACUUGAGUGCAGAAGAGGAGAGUGGAACUCCAGGUGUAGCGGUGAAAUGCGUAGAGAUAUGGAAGAACACCAGUGGCGAAAGCGGCUUGCUGGACUGUAACUGACGCUGAGGUUCGAAAGCGUGGGUAGCAAACAGGAUUAGAUACCCUUGUAGUC